This 576-nucleotide ribosomal RNA is filed under the name Pseudomonas taiwanensis. Its description in RNAcentral is "bacterial SSU rRNA". It matches the Rfam family "Bacterial small subunit ribosomal RNA", at positions 119 to 692 of the family's 1533-position model. Lineage: Bacteria; Pseudomonadati; Pseudomonadota; Gammaproteobacteria; Pseudomonadales; Pseudomonadaceae. The record is from RNAcentral.
AGGAAUCUGCCUGGUAGUGGGGGACAACGUUUCGAAAGGAACGCUAAUACCGCAUACGUCCUACGGGAGAAAGCAGGGGACCUUCGGGCCUUGCGCUAUCAGAUGAGCCUAGGUCGGAUUAGCUAGUUGGUGAGGUAAUGGCUCACCAAGGCGACGAUCCGUAACUGGUCUGAGAGGAUGAUCAGUCACACUGGAACUGAGACACGGUCCAGACUCCUACGGGAGGCAGCAGUGGGGAAUAUUGGACAAUGGGCGAAAGCCUGAUCCAGCCAUGCCGCGUGUGUGAAGAAGGUCUUCGGAUUGUAAAGCACUUUAAGUUGGGAGGAAGGGCAGUAAGUUAAUACCUUGCUGUUUUGACGUUUCUGACAGAAUAAGCACCGGCUAACUCUGUGCCAGCAGCCGCGGUAAUACAGAGGGUGCAAGCGUUAAUCGGAAUUACUGGGCGUAAAGCGCGCGUAGGUGGUUCGUUAAGUUGGAUGUGAAAGCCCCGGGCUCAACCUGGGAACUGCAUCCAAACUGGCGAGCUAGAGUAUGGUAGAGGGUGGUGGAAUUUCCUGUGUAGCGGUGAAAUGCGUA